GUCGUCGUUAUCUUUUCCGUUGUCUUCAUUCACCUUAUAUUCAGGUAUUGGGUCUGUCUGUUGUGUGUGGUAGUUAAUAAUAGCAAUGACCACAGUAAUAACUUUAGUCUUAAUAAUAGUUAUUAAUAAUAAUAAUUGUAAUAUUAUUAGUAUAAGUUAUUAACAGGUCGGCAUAACGUGAAACGUAGAAGAGGCGUCGAUAUCGGCAUCGUCUGCCUAACCGCCUCUUUCCCUUUUUCUCUUCCCAGCGCCAUAUUUGAACCACUGCUAUCAUAUCAGUGGACAUAUGCACCACUCGGGUUCGGUCUCGAGCGUCAUGCUUCGAGUCGCUCCCUUUAAUCCAUUGACCCUCAUCAUCGUCAUCAUCGUCAUCAUCAUCAUCAUCAUCAUCAUCAUCGCCGUCGUCGUCGUCGUCGAUUCAACAAUUCACAUCUUGCUUUGCUUCUUGUCCUUCGGCCUGAAUUAUUUCCUGCGUUUUGGCCUUUCGUCUUCACUUCAUUCAUUUCGUGACAUGGUUGAAGAAUGAGCCGCUGGCCUUAUUAUGAUCUCGCUUAGUUCCUCCGCGAGCGUUGUCAACGUAGUAUAGUUACAAUUUAACACUCAACUUAUUACCGCCUUCGUCAGAUUUCAGUAAUACUUCCCUUGCUUAUCAUUAAAUUCAGUCAAUUAUUAAUGUCGUUAUGUAUAUAUAACAUCUUUUCAUCGAUCACCUUCUGAUUACUAUUAGUAUUUUAUAUUUAUUAUAUUUUAUUUCAUAGUUGUUAUUGUCACUGUUAUUAUUAUUAUUAUUAUCGUUAUGAAUCUUCACCUACAUCUUCAUUAGCGUCGUACUCGCCAUAGACAGCGUUUUCAUUACUAGUAUUAUUGUUAAUAGUAAUAUCGUUAUUAUUAUAAUUAUAUUAUUUGUUUCUUAUUAAUCUUGUUUACUCGUUAUUAUUUUGCUUAUUAUUAAUUGAAUUCUAACAGCGUUCGCUUGCUCUGUCUGUCGGUCUGUGUCAGUUUGUCGCUUCGUCAUCAAUCAACUGCUCGUUCCAUUAACCAAUCAGUCAAUCAGUCAAUCACUCUCUGUCAACCAAUCAAUCACCCAACAAUCAAGCAACCCAUUAAUCAAUUAGUUUGUCUUUCUGUUGUUGUGGUGUCCCGCCAUCUGCUGUUGUUCUGCAUUAGUCCUGACCUUCCUUCAGUAAUACAGGGCCCUUGAUUAUCCUCGUUACCCCAUGUCUCAUCAUUAUGAAUAUCAUCAAUGUUGCCAUUACCGUCGUAGUUGUUUAAUGUUACUGCUGCUGCUGCUGCUGCUGCUGCUGCUGCUGUUGUUGUUGUUGUUGUUGUUGUUGUUGUUGUUGUUGUUGUUGUUGUUAAGCGGCGUGGUUACCGCAAUGUGCCUGGCAUUCAUAUUGUACCGCGCUACCUGUCGUCUGCUAUGAUACUAUGUCCGUAAUAACGAUCUAUUGUUCUAAUAACAAUAAUCCAACGACAGCGUAUCUUGGUGUGCGUCUUUGUAUCUGUUUGUGUGUCUGUAUUUUGAGUAUUGUUGUUGCGGUGUUUGUCGAUUCGAUAAUAAUAAUAAAUCGAAAUUGACGCAUGGCAAAUGGCUGAUUAGUGAAUGAUAUUGUUAUAUUUGCGAUUAUCAGGCAACUUAUUUCCUUUAGCAGGAGUCGCAAUCAGCUGACCCCUUGUACACACAGUUUCCAAUUAAGCGAUGUAACACCGAAGUUGUAUACUUGAUGCCCUAUGUUUCGAAGACUUCGCUUGUCAUUUUAGUAUUCGUGUCAGGUCGACUUCUCAUUUGAAAUGCGUAUACUAAUGUUUCUUUCGCUAUAGUUAAUUACUCUAGCAAACAUUGUCUCAUGGCUUUCGCUGGUCUAAACCGUGCUGCGAUAUAACACGAUCCUCCGCAUCCUGUGAAGAAGGAGGAGGUUUAGUUACUUUUUCACACCACGAGCCAAUUUCAUUGAACAAAUGUCAAGUCCAGCGACUUUUUUCUUUUUUUUAGAAAAAAAUCCAACUAAUUUCCGUGUAUGUGUGUGUUUUUAACGUACCACGACUUUAAUUAAUAAAAGAUACACCACAAAGGUCUUAAGGUAGCAAGGUCGUUCAUUAACUGGAUAUGAAGAUAGCAUCGGUUGAAAGUACAGUGAACAUAAAAGUGCUAUAGGAGUGGUGUGAUAUAAGUUUUGUCUUUUCAAUCCAGCGACGGGCCUGGCUUUCGAACCGGGUCACAGCUCGAAAGCGUGGCGGAAGUCUAUAUUGUCCUCGACACUUUAAGUAAAUCCUAGUUUUCCUCGGGGAAACAAAGCUUUUUCUAAAAGUAGUUCGGGUGCUGAAGCAUAAUUCAGCUCUUAUCAAAUAAGUUGUUUAGCUCUUGUUCUAUAAGCUACUCAGUGACAGUAUGCGUCCUUGAUAGGACUCCGCUACCUGAAAAUAUAGUCACGUAAAUAUCUUUAUAGAUCUUUAAAGAUCUUAUACGUUAUACUGGCAAAAUUACAAGGACAGAAAGGAAAAGGUCGAAAAAUGCAAAAGGUUAAACAUGUGAUAUCCGCUCAUUAUAGACUAGAGCUGAUCCCCUUUAUUGUUUGUCUAGCCAUGCUCAACUUCCUGUUUAGCCAACAUAUAAACGCGUGGUUAUAAACGUUCCGAUGUAUACACACGUUCUUGUGAAUUUUUAGAGGAAUGCCCUGUGUUUGUUCGUAUGUUUAUUUGUCCAUUUUUGUCGGCAUCUGUGUAGAUUUGCGUGUAUGUUACUCUAGAUUUCCCAGUAUCGGCCUGUUAUCGAGCCCGUCUGUUUUUUUUUUCAACCUUGCAAUCACGCAUGGCAAAUGUUAGGCGGUUCCGUGCACAUGGAGAUAGUUUAGAACGCAUGAUUACGUGUUUUGUCACUGACAGAGGGAAAGAGCAGUAGUCACAUAUUAAAAUAGUUGCAACCGCUUUUUAGUUGCUGGUCGGAGAAAUCACCGUGGAUUGGUUUGCCAGCGAGAAACGGCGCAGAACACAAGACCUAUAAUGGCCUACACGCAAACACGGUUGUGAAGGUUGACGGCUGUGUGUGAUUGUAUGUCCGUACCUGUGUUCACGUAUUAUUUUGAUAUUUUACGUCGAUAAUUUUGCUGUGUUGUUUUACGUAAUAUUAUUUCUAGUAACAAUCAAAAUUGGGACGCGAGAGACUAAAUGAGAAAGUAUGUCCGAGGAAAAAUGGUCGCUCAAAAAUGUGAUUGUGUGCGUUUUUUUCUAUGUGUCCUACCUAUCCCAUUAUUGUCACAGUUAUGGUGGCAAUAGUAGUUGUAGCAGAAGUAAUAGCAAGUGGUGAUAUCAUCGAUUGCUCUGUCCUGUGGCGAUACCGAACGUAGCAUGUUAUAAAUGAAUCGAUUGCGUCCAAUGAAACCAACGAUCUCUUCUAAACUUCUUUACCCCCCCCCCCCUGUCUUGUGCUGUAUGUGCUUCAUCUUGUCCCUCUCCGCCUCCAUAUAUAUAUAUAUAUAUAUAUAUAUGUAUAUAUAUAGUGCUUUCGGCGAUUAUUAGUCGGUCUCGUGUUUUUGUCUGCGCUUAUUUGUGCUGACCAGUUGCGUAUCUGACGUGUGCUUGCUGUUCUUUCACCAUCUGGACCCUCCUUCUGUUCAUGAAAAAAGUGCAUCAAAAGACGUUGCAUCUUGAAUAACUGCUUUCGAAGCAACUAUCGCGCAAAAAAAGUGGUGCUUUAUGACAAUGAACCUCAAAUCAAGAUACAAAUGGCCAACGAAUCGUUAAGUAGGUAACGUGAAUUAUUAAGUUUCUGUUAAUUUUACUCCUUUCAUAUUUGGGUCGAUCUGGUACGAUCGCAGUUGCAGAUGCGUGUAUUUUUCGUCCAUAAAAACCUUUAUGACAUCUCGCCUUAACAUCGUCAUUAUCAAUGGGUUUUGAUUUGAUCAGACUCUAGUAAUUAUGCUGAAUUUGGUCAACUUGGCCGCCACCUUUUUUACGACGCUUAUUUUCAACUCUUACACCGUCUAGCACUAGCAGAAAGACCUAAGGGCAUUCAAUGCCACUAUAGCGCCGAUUGACGUUUGGAUUAUCGGCAUCAUUGACUGCCAAUUUGGAUGGACAACUAAUUGAUAUAUUUUUCUUGUGUCUCAUUUGAUUAGUCGUGUUAUUCACAGCAACAAUAACUUUUCGACCUACUUUUUUCGCUUCACGGCCACUCGCCUGCUCUCUCGGCCGUUUUCUCAUGCGUUCGCUAUUAAAAGUACUCCUUUCAUAUUAUUUGCAUAUCACGACGGGCGGACCAUGAGGAAGAUGAGAAGCUUAAAGAAGACUUAAAGACUUCCGUAAAGUGCGAUGGUGCCCAUUAAGUUCAACAAAUGUUUGUCUGUAAAAACACGCUACCGCUGCGCUCUUACGGAGGCGUGUUUGUUUGUACACGUUUUUUUAUAUCACCUAGUGAUUCUGUUUGCUUUGCCGUCCGCUAUGUUCGUCUACGCUGCCAACUGCCAUAUCCGUCUGCUGGUUUGCUUGUUUAUUGGAAUGUGUGUAUGUAUUUUCUGUUGUGUAACAUUGUCGAUAUUUACAAUUUACCGUUCUGUUCGUUCUCCCUAUGCUUUUACGUUCUCUAUCCACGCAACGACGCCGCCGGCCUUUUGUCUGCCAUGGAGCAGUAAACAUCGCACGGUAGCGACGAGAUGUGCUUGCUUAGCUGCGUGAUGUUGCGUAUAAGUAUCUGUCCAUGUGUGACGGUUUAGGUGAUGGUAGUGCUGGAUUCAGGUGCCACGUUUGCUAUUGGCUGUUGGACUGAACUGCGGUGGCCGACACGCCAUAUACGUGCUCCGUAAGAAAGCGGAGCAGUGCCUGCCUGAGAUGCAUUGUUUUAUUAAGUAAAUCGUCGUCUCAAGUAUGAAGGAAGUGUCGACUUGGCGUUGCUAUGAAAUAGAGCGGAAAUUGACACCUUCGUGCUCAUCUCCUUCGUGUAUAUAGACACGAGCUAGCGCAGACCCUACGUUGAAGGUCAUCAUAUAGAUAUACUGAAUCGACCUGUAAUGACUCUCUGCUUAUAUCUAACAUAACCGCGAUACGUGCGCUAACAAUGAUUUGACUAAUUAAACACGGUAUAUGCACUAAAAGAACUUGACAUUACACUCCCUUUUCCUGCAAAAUGCACUUGUUUGGCGAGUUUAGCACGAGUACUGUUGUCUCCGUCAAGCCAACGAUCGGGAGCUGGUAAGUUGGUGAAACAGGCAACAGUGAAAAUUGAUCUUGUUCAGUUUAAAUAUAAGGUCCUAUGGACCUAUUAACACUAAUACAAUCUAUUAAUAGGAAAUCAUUGUAGAAAAAAGAUUUCUGAAAGGGAUUUGAAAAGAGCUCCAAGUCUGAAAACUUCUACGUGUGGUAAAAACGAGCAAAUAGUCAUAGCAAAUACAUGCGAUAAGCUGAUAGUUAACGAAGUUCGUGGAAGCGUGUCUGAGCGUGAGCAUCAUAACAUUUAAGAGUUAGAGACAUGUAUAUAUUGUUGAUGUUCCCGUUAUGUGUAUCUUGCGUGGCGGAAUAGUGACCUUGGGCGAGAUACGGAGAAGGGAUUCGUAUGGUGUUUGUCGUUAUUGUUCUGUAGUGGGGGGAGGGCAGUUUCUAUUAAAGCUCACGGCUAUUACCCAGGCACUCAGCACCGGCGGGCCAAAGCAGCACAACUCUGUUGACGAUAAUAACACCGGCGAAGUACGUACCCCUCAUUGAUUCGAAACGAUUCAGUCAAUAAUUGGCAGUCUAUGUCUCAACAAAGGUUCUGACCUUCCAUUGGCUCCUCAUCAACAGUGGAACAGUGAAGUUGCAAAUUGUUAGUUUAAUAUUCCGAGGGUUAGCCGGGCCAGAUCCAGCUAAAUCGGGCAAAUCUGUUGGUAAAAAUACCCAGCCUUCCCCCCACCGACAAUUAACGUUCAGCCAAGUACUGAUAGACAAAUAUGCUUGCCAAUUAGAAACCGUAAAAGUAGAACAGGUAACGAGCUUUGUGAGUUGAAGUCACCCACAGUCGUCGAUGGCCAAAAAUAAGAGACUCGAGAGGACGAAUCUCAAGACGAGAGCGUACCGCAAGUUCAUCUGAUGACAUGCGCGAGCCAAAUAGAAAGUCUUUGCUUUCUCAGGUCGCACGGUCACAUGCAUUUCACAUCUGUACAUGUUAAGCUUUGGAUAAAAACAUCUCGCUUUUCAUCAUCUUGAUCGGUGCUGCUGGCAAUAAAUUUCCAAUCAUACAUUAUUAGCAGACAUAGUUCUGAAAUACGAGAAAGUAAUGACUUUUUACGUUUUAUUCAAUCGAACGCCUUUUGUCAUUUUUCAUUCGGCGGGUUAUAACUGGAACGCUAAUCUCUAACCAACGACGCUGCAAUGCAGAAAGCAUCAUUAUCAGCGCCAUAUGCCAUACCAAGAGCGACAUUUCUAAAUAACGCGUAUUGUGUAUACGUAUGCAGUUAGAGCUUACGUUAAUUUGCUUUUUCUGCUAACUUUUUCGGUUACGUCGGCAGCACGGAAAUUCGAUGGAGCUUUUGUUCUGCUCUUCCAGGCUCCAGGCUUCGCUAUCUGCUUUUGCCAGCCAUAUGGAAAUUAAGGCGAUCGUCCUCUAUUAUCUAAUAUCAUUAAUUCGUCUGCAUAUUAAUUUUCGAACCGAAAGACCGACUUAGGUCUCGGCCACUGGGCUCGAGCGGAAUCGUUAUACCGGGCUCACGUGAUGGCAGGUCAGAUCACAAUUGUUGAUGACAGUUCUCUGGGUUUCCGGCUUCUUUUUUUACUAGUUAUCAUGACGAUAAAAGGGCAUCGCUCUCGCAUAGUAGAGAUAUAUUAUUUAUAUAUUUAUAUAGAUUCAUGUAUAUAUAAUUAGGUAAUCAGUUGUGAAUGUACGUGUGUGCUGUUGUUUCUGCUUAUUGUUAAUGUUGUGUAUCAGGCCAGUCGCAUCGAGAUGAGAAAGUUGCAGUCGGACCGACAUACUUGCUCAUUCACCCGUUGCACGAUAAUCAUUCGUAAUUACAUCAUACAGUUUCCCAGGUACUUAUGAAUCUGUAACCAUCCGCAACCGUCGUCAGCGCUGCACACCCUCAAUAUCAUGCCGCGAACAGGAAAUCGACUCUUCUUGUCAUAUUAAAUUCAUGUUGUCCUCCAUAUCCAAGGUGUAUUCAAGCAUAUCAGUGUAAUCAUCUUCCCCUUUCUUUAUCUUAAUUUUCUUGUUAUCUCUCCCUAUUUCAUCACCAACAACAUUAUCAUUAUGAUAGUUAUUUGCACAUCUAGCUUGAACUAGUCAAAUUUGACUUUAGCAGAUCUCAGUUCGUUGUCGUAUUUCGUGUCACACUACCAUUUAUUAUUAUGUCAUUAUGCCUAUGAGGAUUGAUUUAUUAAUGUUAUAAUUAUAGUUGGUAGAAGUACACGCUUUGCUACUCUAUUGUUUUUCUCAAUAGAACGAAUCGAAGGCUUCGAGUCUAGGCGCGCCCGCUGGUUACAUUGGGGUUUCCCUCCAUCUUUUUAAAAAUGCUUAAAGAAAUAUCAGGAUGAAACAGUCUCAUCAUUAUUUACCAGCGUCGCCACCGAGUGGCCUUUAAGUCAAUAUCGUCUGCUACUGACAACGGAACCAUGAAGGAAGAGUAACCAAGCGACUAGCGCCAAUGAAAAGUCGCGUUAUUUGAGGGCGUGCCGCUUGAGCUGCGUCUAUCCAUUAUCGCGCCACACUCAGAGCAUCGUUAUCAACAUCGUCAUCAUUUGUGGCCGUAACUUCUUUCGGCUGUCAUGAAUUUCAGCGUUUGUUCAUAGCACAUGUCGUCCCCUGGUU
RNAcentral lists this long non-coding RNA (7768 nucleotides) under Varroa destructor (honeybee mite). RNAcentral's name for it is "uncharacterized LOC111246631, transcript variant X1". Lineage: Eukaryota; Metazoa; Arthropoda; Arachnida; Mesostigmata; Varroidae. The record is from RNAcentral.